AGCGAACGCUGGCGGCAGGCCUAACACAUGCAAGUCGAACGGAUCCUUCGGGAUUAGUGGCGGACGGGUGAGUAACACGGGGGAACGUGCCCGUUGGUUCGGAACAACUCAGGGAAACUUGAGCUAAUACCGGAUGUGCCCUUCGGGGGAAAGAUUUAUCGCCAUUGGAGCGGCCCGCGUCUGAUUAGCUAGUUGGUGAGGUAACGGCCCACCAAGGCGACGAUCAGUAGCUGGGCUGAGAGGAUGAUCAGCCACACUGGGACUGAGACACGGCCCAGACUCCUACGGGAGGCAGCAGUGGGGAAUCUUGCGCAAUGGGCGAAAGCCUGACGCAGCCAUGCCGCGUGAAUGAUGAGGGUCUUAGGAUUGUAAAAUUCUUUCAGCGGGGACGAUAAUGACGGUACCCGCAGAAGAAGCUCCGGCUAACUUCGUG
This 433-nucleotide ribosomal RNA is filed under the name uncultured bacterium. Its description in RNAcentral is "partial 16S ribosomal RNA". It matches the Rfam family "Bacterial small subunit ribosomal RNA", at positions 29 to 507 of the family's 1533-position model. The record is from RNAcentral.